AUUUUUGUUUUUUUAAAGAAGAAGAGUGGCGAACCGUAUCGGCAGUAUCGGUGGCGCACGGCGGUGCCAUGGGUAGGUGGGGCAGCUGCCUAGGUCUUGGGCGGCGCCGUGGUUGGUGAUGGCGUUGAAGUUUCAGCCCGUGCUGCUCGGUGGCAGUGGUGGCCUCGGCUGUGUGGUGAACUCUCUAGGUUCCUCGAGGCAGUGUUGCGGGGCUGCACCGCUCUACGCCGGCAAUAGCGGUCUACGACGGCGUCACGAAUGAAGAUGCUUGAUUAUGUGCUUCAGAAUGAAGAUGCAUGAUUAUGUGCUUCAGGAGCUGCUAGUCGUACCAUAGAAGCAAUUAAUGAACCUCUUCUCGCUAUUUUAAUUUCAAGUGCAAUAAUCUGCUGGAGGUGUUUUCCAUUCAGACAAGUGAAGUUUUGCACCCUGCAAAUGUGCAGAUGUAUUCUGGAAGAAGAAAAGCAUACCCAGUAAGAUGCAAUCCUUGCCAUCUUACUGAGCAAGUUCAUUCAUAUUAUUUUUAGGUCCUCCUUGACAAUGUAUUUGAUCAAUUGUCUAAAGAAUUCCUGGAUUGUCAGAGUAAAAUAAAGUACGUUCAGAAUACUGUUCUUGAUUCAGUAAAAACAAUUACCUAGUUUAACCCGAGCUAUUGUGUUGAAGAACAU
RNAcentral lists this ribosomal RNA (665 nucleotides) under Triticum aestivum (bread wheat). RNAcentral describes it as "partial small subunit ribosomal RNA". The record is from RNAcentral. Lineage: Eukaryota; Viridiplantae; Streptophyta; Magnoliopsida; Poales; Poaceae.